UAAGUGUUGGAGGGUUUCCGCCCUUCAGUGCUGCAGCUAACGCAUUAAGCACUCCGCCUGGGGAGUACGACCGCAAGGUUGAAACUCAAAGGAAUUGACGGGGGCCCGCACAAGCGGNGGAGCAUGUGGUUUAAUUCGAUGCUACGCGAAGAACCUUACCAGGUCUUGACAUCUUCUGCCAACCUAAGAGAUUAGGCGUUCCCUUCGGGGACAGAAUGACAGGUGGUGCAUGGUUGUCGUCAGCUCGUGUCGUGGGAUGUUGGGUUAAGUCCCGCAACGAGCGCANCCCUUAUUGUUAGUUGCCAGCAUUCAGUUGGGCACUCUAGCAAGACUGCCGGUGACAAACCGGAGGAAGGUGGGGAUGACGUCNNAUCAUCAUGCCCCUUAUGACCUGGGCUACACACGUGCUACAAUGGACGGUACAAC
RNAcentral lists this ribosomal RNA (426 nucleotides) under uncultured Lactobacillus sp. Its description in RNAcentral is "bacterial SSU rRNA". It matches the Rfam family "Bacterial small subunit ribosomal RNA", at positions 817 to 1243 of the family's 1533-position model. The record is from RNAcentral. Lineage: Bacteria; Bacillati; Bacillota; Bacilli; Lactobacillales; Lactobacillaceae.